Molecule: long non-coding RNA, 571 nt
Filed under: Lynx pardinus (Iberian lynx)
Lineage: Eukaryota; Metazoa; Chordata; Mammalia; Carnivora; Felidae
Source: RNAcentral
GAGACUGCAUCUAGUCAGAGCAGGUCAUUAAGCUCAAGCAAAAGUUCACUGAAGCAAAAGCAUCUAUUGUUUAUCUCACAAAAUAACUGGAGGGUUCUCCAGAAAGAGUGGAGCAAAAGGUAAAUUACCUAGUGGAAAUGUCAGCAGGAAGGGACUGCACACUAGGAUCUUUUUCAUGUACAAUUGACAACAGCUAAAAAUAAAUCGAACAUGGCAAUGGCUCCCUAUGUUUCUGUAGCCCCAGGAUGCUACUUUCAUUUUAAUAAAUGAUUGAACAAAGUGUUUAACUUCUUUCUGUUUUCAGGUUGAUAUUCAAAGGCAUAGGAAAUGCAUUAUUGAAUAUUUUGCUGUGCCCUAGCUUUGGGUAAAGGGCUGUUCUUAAUAACUAGUACUAAGAAACUGUGUGGAUUCCCAUUAAUAGUAAGGAAAUUAGAGUUGUUUUCUCAUGAGAACUGAAGGCAUGUCCUCUGCCAUCCAUGUUCCUUUCACUUCUCAGUGAAGACAUAAAGUUAAAACCUCUGGCCAAGGGAAAGGCACACCAUCUGUGACCGCAAAAUACAACGAAAUUAAA